This 3323-nucleotide long non-coding RNA is filed under the name Salvia miltiorrhiza (redroot sage). Its description in RNAcentral is "long non-coding RNA (SMIL_LNC007132)". Lineage: Eukaryota; Viridiplantae; Streptophyta; Magnoliopsida; Lamiales; Lamiaceae. The record is from RNAcentral.
GUUGGGAUCUGCUCUAGGCACCAAGAACAGCAGGAAGAGUGGGGCGAUCCUCAGCACGUUCCUGAUCAGAAUAGCGAGCCACAUGUUGUCGAACUCUGUCCGUGUAACGUUCAAGACGUGCAGCAGGAGACCUCCCAACCACGACGAGGUGAGGAGGCCGGCAUUGUCUAUUGACAUGAGCAGGGCAAAGAAGGUGCCUUCAAUCCCAGGUGGGCACAUCUUGGAGCUCAGAACAAGAAGUGGCAUCCAUUUCAAGCGCCCGAUCAUUUGGGACACGCUUGCAUCAGCCACCACGAAGAAUAAGUCGGGCACACCGAGCCUCAAGUUCCAGCGCAGCACCAGCGCCAGAUCCAGCAUUCCGGAGAGGCAGGAUAGGAUCUGAGCCCAGAAGAGCAGAUCCCGGAAGGGAUAGUCUUUUAGGCCGUAUUGGUAUAGGAUAGCCCCGAGGAGCGAGCCCACGGAGCCUAUUGCCAUGAUAUAACCAAUUAUUUGCUGCAUAAACAUCAAAGUUCAGUAGCAUAUUGUAUAAUCUGCAGACCUAAUAUGAGGAUAUGCUGUUAAUGAGAUCAGUUCAAAUGUACCUUAGAAAACGAAGGGCCGGCUGCUGAAUCUGUCACCCAAUAGAACAUCCCCUCGGAGACAUUUAGGCCCAACGAGAAGGACAAGUACAUGUACAGACACGGCCUCCACACGUCUGGGCAUUUCAACGUAUUCCACAUAGCUUUACCAGCAUUGGCUAAGUUCUGGCUGAUCUGAUUUCAGAAACCCCAAAAUUAGUGUUCAAGUUUGAAUCUUGAUCCACCCAGUUAUGCAUUAGUACCUGUUCAUAACCAAAGCUGGAAACGCGUUGUUCCUUGAGCAAUAUACCAACUACGAAGACUAGCCCAGCUGGUAUCGUUAACAAGCCAUAUACCCCCUUCAGUUCAAAGAGUAUGUUAAUGGUUUAACACUCACAUCUUCAGUAGCUUGUAAGCUCUUUAACAAAAUGGGAGAAAGCAAGCUAACCUGGGGUCCAAUUAGGUGUACAAAUAUACCACUCAGAGAAAAUCCCACGAGAGCCCCGAUUGAGGAGCUCAAGGAACAUAAACUUUGCAUGUCAGNUUAUUUAUUUAUUUCCAGUUUAUUUAUUUUUGAAUUUUAAGUUUAUUUUUUUUAUUUUGUUUAUUUCCAGUUUAUUUAUUUUCUGAAUUUUCAGUUUAUUUAUUUAUUUUUUGUAACUUUAAGUUUAUUUAUUUUCUAAAAAAAUUAUUUCCAGUUUUUAAUUUAUUUAUUUAUUUAUUUUCGAAUUUUCAGGUUAUUUAUUUAUUAAUUUUCAAUUUAUAUAUUUUCUGAAUUUUCAGUUUAUUUAUUUAUUUAUUUAUUUAUUUUCGAAUUUUCAGUUUAUUUAUUUUCCAGUUUUUCAGUUUUUUUAAUUUAAGAGUAAAAAAAGAAAGAAAGAAAUAGCUUAUAAAAAAAAGAACACUUUAAUAAGUCAAGGCAUUAAAAGAAUGUCAAAUAGCUAAUGAAAGAUUAGUAAAAGUAAUCCAAAUAUAUUAACACUACCCUUUUAGUCAUUUACACCACUUUUACACCACCUUUUUCAGCUUUCUUAGUUUCCGUGCCGACCAUCAAAUGGGUAGUUGAUUGGUGGACGGAGGGAGUAGUAUUUAAUUUUUUAGUGAUUGCUAAGAGGUAAGGAUUUCAUUUCCAUUUAAUUAUGUCUUAUUAGAUACUCCCUCCGUCCACUAAUUGUUGGCCUACUUUCCUUUUUGGUCCGUCCACCAAAAAAUGUCCUACCCAUUUAUAGUAAGUCUUUAUAAUUUUUUAAUUGGUGGGUCCCAAUAAACAAUACACUUUUUCUCCACUCAACUAAUAAACAAUAUAUUUUGUGGGUCCCUUUCUCCACUCACUACACUUUUUCUUAAAAUCCGUGUUUUGCCUCCUAGGCCAACAAUUAGUGGACGGAGGGAGUAUUUUGUAGUAGCGCCCAUGUCUUGCUAUGGUAGAUUGUCAGGUUAUAGAAAAAAAAAUCAACUCAAACAAUUUGUAGCAGAUCGUCCACGGUGUAAUGCUGGCCGACUCCAACCAUACUGAAUUUUUAUUUUUUACACAUUUUAAUGGUUGAAAGAAUUAGAGAUAAUUAUACAAUUUCCAAACUUCUUUUUCACCUUAAGAAGUUGUACUUUAAACGUGUAAUAAAUACUUCAUCCGUCCUUAUAAAAAAUAAUCAUUUCUAAAUGACACGACUUUUAAUAAAAUAUUUUAAUAAAGUAGUUAAAUGUAUUGUGAGUAAAAUACUUAUCAAAAAUAAAUUGAAUAUAUUUUAUGAAAACAGAUGAAAAUGAUAAAUUGGAUACUUUUUAUGAGAACGGAGGAAGUACAAAAUACUAAUAUCACAAUUUUUUUGGAGAUGUACUUUAAAAACUCAAUAUUAAUUAUUCAUUUGUAAGUUUAUAUACAUUUCCCUCAAAAGAGUAAUUUUUUUUAUGUACAUACAAGCAUAUUAUUUAUGACUUAUGAGCAUAUAAAUCAUUUCCAUUUGAUAUUACAAAGAUACUAUAGAUCCAAUGAGAAUCUAUUAAAAUUUCCCACAGUUCACAAUUUGUAUGAAAAGUAUGUAUAGUAAAAUUUCAACAGUACAUAUGGAACAAAAUUCAGUAAUUUCCCCCCAAAAAAUGUAUAAGAAGAUGAAAGAAUACAAUGGCCUAACAAAAGGGUCAUUUUCCUCAACAAACCAGUGAACUCAGGGGAGAUGUUUAGGCCUUCUGGUGCUUGAACACCCUUCAGCAGUCCUAUCUACCACCAUCUGUGCGGUCUACGAGCGCGACGAGCUCGACGUUUUCGGAUUCAGCCGUUUCUUUGAUGUUGACAACAUCAUCAGGGAGAAGAGAGGAGUUGGGAUCUGCUCUAGGACCAAGAACAGCAGGAAGAGUGGGGCGAUCCUCAGCACGUUCCUGAUCAGAAUAGCGAGCCACAUGUUGUCGAACUCUGUCCGUGUAACGUUCAAGAGUGCAGCAGGAGACCUCCCAACCACGACGAGGUGAGGAGGCCGGCAUUGUCUAUUGACAUGAGCAGGGCAAAGAAGGUGCCUUCAAUCCCAGGUGGGCACAUCUUGGAGCUCAGAACAAGAAGUGGCAUCCAUUUCAAGCGCCCGAUCAUUUGGGACACGCUUGCAUCAGCCACCACGAAGAAUAAGUCGGGCACACCGAGCCUCAAGUUCCAGCGCAGCACCAGCGCCAGAUCCAGCAUUCCGGAGAGGCAGGAUAGGAUCUGAGCCCAGAAGAGCAGAUCCCGGAAGGGAUAGUCUUUUAGGCCGUAUUGGUAUAGGAUAGCCCCGAGGAGCG